RNAcentral lists this microRNA precursor (106 nucleotides) under Danio rerio (zebrafish). Its description in RNAcentral is "miRNA (ENSDARG00000106803.2)". Lineage: Eukaryota; Metazoa; Chordata; Actinopteri; Cypriniformes; Danionidae. The record is from RNAcentral.
AAAAGAAGGUAUUUUAAAGAAUGUUGUGAACCUGUAACCAUUGACCUCCAUAGUAUUUGUUUUUCCUACUAUAGAUGUCAAGGAUUACAAGUUUCCAACAUUCUUC